CGUGACUUCUUCUUCUUCUCACUUCUUGAUUUCCCAAAUUGGAAACCCUUGUGGAAGAAGAACCAGCGGCAUCUACGCCGCCUGCCUUGCUCCUCUCCCCUAGGCGAAGUCGUCCUCCGGUGUCUCCGGAGUACCCUGGCAAUUUCUCCCUUCGCUAACCCAUCGGAGGACUCUCUUUCUCUCAUUUCUAACCCAUCGCAGGACCGCUGCCGUUCCCGGCUUCUCGCUGCCACCAGGCCGCCGUCGAGCCGCGGCUCUGUCCGUGAGCCACGCCGUUUCGUCGGCCAGCAGCUAAGUGUUAACCCCUCUCCAUAACUCUCUACAUUACGCAUCUACAAAGUUCUAUUCUUUCAUAUCUUCUUGUUUUAUUGUAGUGUUAGAGGAGAAAAGGGGUUUCAGUUUUUGCAUUUGAGAGGGAUUUAAGUGUUACGCUACUGUUCUUGUUCCUUAGCUGAUUUGGGGCCUAUGUAACUGCUAAAUAAAAAUCAAACGAUAUUUAUAAAAUCUGGCAGCAGCUAUGUGGUAAAAUUGUUUCCAAUAUUCUCUUAAGGUGCCGAUUUUAAGAGCUUAAAAUUGUUUUCAACUCAAAGCUAAGGUGUAACUGUUAGCUAUGAAAUUCUUGUAUAAAUCGGAAACAUGUAAGCUACUAACUUGCACAACUAUGCUGGGUUUACUUAUUCUCGUGUAUUCAUGCUUUCAUGUUUCUAUGAAUAUGGUGGGGAAGAGAGGGUGUUAUACCUCUUGAAGCAGUUACUGACUUGGUAUUUGUUGUAAGAAACAAAGUUUGCCCUCCUCCUUUAGAGUUCCUAGUUGCAGUGACAAAGAAAGGGGUGAAACUGAGUUCUCUUUUUUUUGAAUGAAGAGAAAUUCGUGGAAAUGAGGAAGGAGGAAGAGAGGUUACCUAUGGGAUGCAGGGCUGCCUGCAAGAAGCUCUUCCUGCUGCGAAGAGAACUCACUCACUCACUACUCUCUCAAGCUUGGGAGAGCAGGUGGCUGUUAGGAACAGGCACGGCUGACUUUGCCAUUUUUAGGCAAGACUCAUUUUCACCUUUGAAAAGGGGAAAAACUGACCAUCUUCGGCUGCCACCAUGCUGAUUCGGGCCCGUCGGGAUCGGGCUGCGAUUCGGUCCUAAAGAAGAGGCCCGAAGUGCUCAUUAGACAUCUUACAUUCCGUUUCUUUACUUCGUGUAGUUUAUUUGGAAUUAGUUGAUAGUUCAUCGUGUAAAAGAUAUUCGAACACCUUUAGUCCGAAAUAAAUUUCUUGUUUCCCCUCUUUUAUAAACA
Salvia splendens (bonfire salvia) is the source of this 1284-nucleotide long non-coding RNA. RefSeq lists it as uncharacterized. The record is from RefSeq and is a predicted model, not a curated record. NCBI's taxonomy places the organism in Eukaryota, Viridiplantae, Streptophyta, Magnoliopsida, Lamiales, Lamiaceae. The transcript has 3 exons.